Molecule: ribosomal RNA, 497 nt
Filed under: uncultured bacterium
Lineage: Bacteria
Description: partial 16S ribosomal RNA
Rfam family: Bacterial small subunit ribosomal RNA
Source: RNAcentral
GAUGAACGCUGGCGGCGUGCCUAAUACAUGCAAGUCGAGCGAACAGACGAGGAGCUUGCUCCUCUGACGUUAGCGGCGGACGGGUGAGUAACACGUGGAUAACCUACCUAUAAGACUGGUAUAACUGCGGGAAACCGGAGCUAAUCCCGGAUAAUAUAUUUAACCGCAUGGUUCAAUAGUGAAAGACGGUUUUGCUGUCACUUAUAGAUGGAUCCGCGCCGCAUUAGCUAGUUGGUAAGGUAACGGCUUACCAAGGCAACGAUGCGUAGCCGACCUGAGAGGGUGAUCGGCCACACUGGAACUGAGACACGGUCCAGACUCCUACGGGAGGCAGCAGUAGGGAAUCUUCCGCAAUGGGCGAAAGCCUGACGGAGCAACGCCGCGUGAGUGAUGAAGGUCUUCGGAUCGUAAAACUCUGUUAUUAGGGAAGAACAAAUGUGUAAGUAACUAUGCACGUCGUGACGGUACCUAAUCAGAAAGCCACGGCUAACUACGUG